This 361-nucleotide ribosomal RNA is filed under the name Stachybotrys bisbyi. Its description in RNAcentral is "SSU rRNA". It matches the Rfam family "Eukaryotic small subunit ribosomal RNA", at positions 1471 to 1831 of the family's 1831-position model. Lineage: Eukaryota; Fungi; Ascomycota; Sordariomycetes; Hypocreales; Stachybotryaceae. The record is from RNAcentral. RNAcentral also lists the same sequence under 1 other name.
CCUUAGAUGUUCUGGGCUGCACGCGCGUUACACUGGCGGAGCCAGCGAGUACUCCCUUGGCCGAAAGGUCCGGGUAAUCUUGUUAAACUCCGCCGUGCUGGGGAUAGAGCAUUGCAAUUAUUGCUCUUCAACGAGGAAUCCCUAGUAAGCGCAAGUCAUCAGCUUGCGUUGAUUACGUCCCUGCCCUUUGUACACACCGCCCGUCGCUACUACCGAUUGAAUGGCUUAGUGAGGCGUUCGGACUGGCCCAGAGAGGUGGGCAACUACCACUCAGGGCCGGAAAGUUCUCCAAACUUGGUCAUUUAGAGGAAGUAAAAGUCGUAACAAGGUCUCCGUUGGUGAACCAGCGGAGGGAUCAUUA